UACGUAGGGUGCGAGCGUUGUCCGGAAUUAUUGGGCGUAAAGGGCUCGUAGGCGGUUUGUCGCGUCGGGAGUGAAAACCUUGGGCUUAACUCAGGGCUUGCUUUCGAUACGGGCAGACUAGAGGUAUGCAGGGGAGAACGGAAUUCCUGGUGUAGCGGUGAAAUGCGCAGAUAUCAGGAGGAACACCGGUGGCGAAGGCGGUUCUCUGGGCAUGAUCUGACGCUGAGGAGCGAAAGCCAGGGGAGCAAACGGG
Molecule: ribosomal RNA, 253 nt
Filed under: uncultured bacterium
Lineage: Bacteria
Description: partial 16S ribosomal RNA
Rfam family: Bacterial small subunit ribosomal RNA
Source: RNAcentral